AUGAUCCUUGCUGUGCCAUCUGUAACUGAAGUGAAAAAAAUGUGGCAAGUGGAGAUAGAGUUCCUUCACUGCUUGGGCACAUCACCCUUUCUGCAUCAUCUAAAAGUUGUCAUUCUGUGCUGUCUGACAGCACCAUCUGGUUCAGAAUAUAAUAUCUCAGAUCUGGCCAUUUCUAGAGCUGGAUGUGCUGCCACCAUAUAUAACGUUGAUGGAGUACAUGCUUUUGUACAUAGUGAGUGAGGAGAAAAAUAAUAAUCAAACAGGUAAGCAAAAAUAGAAGCAGUUAAAUGUAAAAAAUCUGAAUAACUGCAGUGUCU
This 317-nucleotide long non-coding RNA is filed under the name Corvus moneduloides (New Caledonian crow). RNAcentral's name for it is "lncRNA (ENSCMUG00000019761.1)". Lineage: Eukaryota; Metazoa; Chordata; Aves; Passeriformes; Corvidae. The record is from RNAcentral.